RNAcentral lists this ribosomal RNA (990 nucleotides) under human gut metagenome. RNAcentral describes it as "bacterial LSU rRNA". It matches the Rfam family "Bacterial large subunit ribosomal RNA", at positions 1938 to 2925 of the family's 2925-position model. The record is from RNAcentral.
AACUAUAACGGUCCUAAGGUAGCGAAAUUCCUUGUCAGGUAAGUUCUGACCCGCACGAAUGGCGUAAUGAUUUGGGCACUGUCUCAACAGCCCGCCCGGCGAAAUUGUAGUACUGGUGAAGAUGCCAGUUACCCGCAACUAGACGGAAAGACCCCAUGGAGCUUUACUGCAGCUUAAUACUGAAAUUCGGUAGUACAUGUACAGGAUAGGUGGGAGACUGAGAAAUACAGGCGUCAGCUUGUAUGGAGUCGCUGUUGGGAUACCACUCUUGUACUGCUGGGUUUCUAACCUGCGGCCGUGAAUCCGGUCGGGGGACACUGUUAGGCGGGCAGUUUGACUGGGGCGGUCGCCUCCAAAAGAGUAACGGAGGCGCUCAAAGGUUCGCUCAGCAUGGACGGAAACCAUGCCAAAGAGUGCAAACGCAAAAGCGAGCCUAACUGCGAGACUGACGGGUCGAGCAGUAACGAAAGUUGGAGUUAGUGAUCCGGUGGUAUGUGAGUGGAAAUGCCAUCGCUCAACGGAUAAAAGUUACCCUGGGGAUAACAGGCUGAUCUCCCCCAAGAGUCCACAUCGACGGGGAGGUUUGGCACCUCGAUGUCGGCUCAUCGCAUCCUGGGGCUGAAUUCGGUCCCAAGGGUUUGGCUGUUCGCCAAUUAAAGCGGCACGCGAGCUGGGUUCAGAACGUCGUGAGACAGUUCGGUCCCUAUCUGUUGCGGGCGUAAGAGAUUUGAAGGGAGCUGUCCUUAGUACGAGAGGACCGGGAUGGACGUACCUCUGGUGCACCAGUUGUCCUGCCAAGGGCAUAGCUGGGUAGCUAUGUACGGACGAGAUAAACGCUGAAAGCAUCUAAGCGUGAAACUCCCCCUAAGAUGAGAUCUCUCAUCCUUCAAGGAGUAAGGACCCAGAAAGACGAUCUGGUUGAUAGGCCGAAGGUGGAAGCGCAGUAAUGUGUGCAGCUGAUCGGUACUAAUAGUCCGAGGGCUUGACCUA